GUGGGUAUAGCUCCAUGGUAGAGCACGUGCUUAGCAUGCAUGUGGUCCUGGGUUCAAUCCCCAGCACCUCCG
Molecule: transfer RNA, 72 nt
Filed under: Camelus bactrianus (Bactrian camel)
Lineage: Eukaryota; Metazoa; Chordata; Mammalia; Artiodactyla; Camelidae
Also listed under: 1 other name
Rfam family: tRNA
About the family: Transfer RNA (tRNA) molecules are approximately 80 nucleotides in length. Their secondary structure includes four short double-helical elements and three loops (D, anti-codon, and T loops). Further hydrogen bonds mediate the characteristic L-shaped molecular structure. tRNAs have two regions of fundamental functional importance: the anti-codon, which is responsible for specific mRNA codon recognition, and the 3' end, to which the tRNAs corresponding amino acid is attached (by aminoacyl-tRNA synthetases). tRNAs cope with the degeneracy of the genetic code in two manners: having more than one tRNA (with a specific anti-codon) for a particular amino acid; and 'wobble' base-pairing, i.e. permitting non-standard base-pairing at the 3rd anti-codon position.
Source: Rfam by way of RNAcentral